This 377-nucleotide ribosomal RNA is filed under the name uncultured eukaryote. Its description in RNAcentral is "partial 18S ribosomal RNA". It matches the Rfam family "Eukaryotic small subunit ribosomal RNA", at positions 592 to 976 of the family's 1831-position model. The record is from RNAcentral.
CAAUAGCGUAUAUUUAAGUUGCUGCAGUUAAAAAGCUCGUAGUUGGAUUUCGGGUGGGAAUGGCCGGUCCGCCGUUUCGGUGUGCACUUGCUACGCCCACCUUGCUGCCGGGGACGUGCUCUUGAGUUCACGCUCGGGACACGGAGUCGGCGAGGUUACUUUGAGUAAAUUAGAGUGUUCAAAGCAGGCCUACGCUCUGAAUACAUUAGCAUGGAAUAACACGAUAGGACUCUGGCCUAUCUUGUUGGUCUGUAGGACCGGAGUAAUGAUUAAGAGGGACAGUCGGGGGCACUCGUAUUUCAUUGUCAGAGGUGAAAUUCUUGGAUUUAUGAAAGACGAACUACUGCGAAAGCAUUUGCCAAGGAUGUUUUCACUAA